Non-coding RNA from Caenorhabditis elegans, 21 nucleotides. NCBI's taxonomy places the organism in Eukaryota, Metazoa, Nematoda, Chromadorea, Rhabditida, Rhabditidae. The record is from Ensembl.
UUUAUGGAUUGUUCCGCAUGA